CGCGACUUUCACCCGACAAGCGUCGCCGAUUUUGACUGCGGUACGUUGUACGAUGUGUGGUGGACCGGCGAUGACUACAUCUCCGGCGGCUACUAUAAAGCCAAAUUGCUCCACCUGACAGAAACGUCGGAGGAAAUGGAUUUGUUCCUCAGCAAGAGGCCUAGGAAGCCCAUAAACUCCACUGAAACAAAAGGAAAAAAGAGGACAAAAGGGAAGCCCGCACCAUCAACCAAGCAGCUUCGUCUCGAAACUCAAAGCACAGUUGAGGCGGAGCUUGCAGCUCAGAUUGAAGGAGUUGGCACACCGAAAUGCACAUGUUGCAGUGACGGCUGUGGCCAACUAGAUGAAGCGCAAAAAGAAAUUGCUCUUCUGAGAGAGGAGCUACUAGCUCAAAAAUCGAGCUUCCUCAAAAAAAUAGAGGAGCUGGAGAAAAGGUUGAACAGCACUCUGGAUAUGAAUGUAGAGCUGCAAAAAGCUCUGACAUCGAAGAUUUUUA
Molecule: non-coding RNA, 496 nt
Organism: Dermacentor albipictus
Lineage: Eukaryota; Metazoa; Arthropoda; Arachnida; Ixodida; Ixodidae
Source: RefSeq, a predicted model, not a curated record